UUCUCUAAUAACAAUAAAUAAUUAUUUAUUCCCUGCAGAAUGCCAAUUGUACUGCUUCAUACUCAAAGAUCUUUCUUAAAGGAAUAAAACAUCUGUCUGUGCAUUCAGAACAUGGCUCACAAGAAGAAUUAAAACUUAUUAUACACAAUAUGGAAAGAAUGGAUGUUAUUUGCCCAAAUCUAAAGCACCAGGUACCAGACUGUGAAGUACAGGAUACGUCCACUUUCCAAUUCCUGAGACAAUUUACGAAGUUUCUUCAAAAAAUAAAAAGGUCCGACUGUUUCAGACUAAGAAGUGAAUAUCCAUUUUCUGCCUGAAGAUUUUCUUUUAGUACGAGAAGAAUCAUCUCACUACACUUGUUAUUCACCAGAAACAGUAUUUUAGUAUAAUUGUUUGUUCUUAGUUGCAGUAUGUAUUUAAAGAUUCACAAUUUUUUUGUGGGUUAUUUAUUUUAUUUAUUAA
Molecule: long non-coding RNA, 462 nt
Filed under: Lepisosteus oculatus (spotted gar)
Lineage: Eukaryota; Metazoa; Chordata; Actinopteri; Semionotiformes; Lepisosteidae
Description: lncRNA (ENSLOCG00000021894.1)
Source: RNAcentral